Molecule: unclassified non-coding RNA, 1386 nt
Filed under: uncultured Neocallimastigales
Lineage: Eukaryota; Fungi; Neocallimastigomycota; Neocallimastigomycetes; Neocallimastigales
Description: partial contains small subunit ribosomal RNA, internal transcribed spacer 1, 5.8S ribosomal RNA, internal transcribed spacer 2, and large subunit ribosomal RNA
Rfam family: Eukaryotic large subunit ribosomal RNA (bases 607-1386)
Source: RNAcentral
UUUCCGUAGGUGAACCUGCGGAAGGAUCAUUAAAAAAUGUGGUACCGAUUGUUGGUACUAAAUUAAUCAUCCUACCCUUUGUGAAUUUGUUUGUAACGAAUUUUUUUAAAUGGGUCUUUCCCUAAGUUGGAUUGUAGUAAAAUACAAAAAAGACUUAGGGGAAUGACUUUUUUAAAAGACUUUUUUUUAAUUAAAACUUUUUGUAUUCAUUUGUCUAAAAUUUAUUUUUAUAAUAUAAAAACAACUUUUGACAAUGGAUCUCUGGUUCUCGCAACGAUGAAGAACGCAGCAAAAUGCGAUAAGUAGUGUGAAUUGCAGAAUACGUGAAUCAUCGAAUCUUCGAACGCAUAUUGCACUUUUUUAGUUUACUAAAAAAGUAUGUCUGUUUGAGUAUCAGUAAAAUAUUCUCACAAACAUAUAUUGUUUGUGGUAUGAGUGUUUUACAACGAUAAACAAGUUGUUUCACUUUAAAUUCUUUUUGUAAGUUUUUUACCAAUUCAUAAAUUAAAAUUGGAUAAAAUUUUCCUUUAACGAGGAAUAACCUAAACAAUUUUAAAUUUUUUGGAUUAUAAACAUCAUCAAAGGAAUCUAUAUACAUAAAUAACUUGAUCUCAAAUCAGAUAAGAGUACCCGCUGAACUUAAGCAUAUCAAUAAGCGGAGGAAAAGAAACUAACAAGGAUUCCCUUAGUAACGGCGAGUGAAGCGGGAAGAGCUCAAAUUUGAAAUCUUCAAGGUUUGACCUUGACGAAUUGUAGUUUAUAGAAGUGUUUUCUGUUGGAGUUUUGGUAAAAGUUCUUUGGAAUAGGACAUCAUAGAGGGUGAGAAUCCCGUAUUUGACCAUGACUUUCCAGCUGUGUGAUACACUUUCAAAGAGUCGGAUUGUUUGGGAAUGCAGUCCAAAAUGGGUGGUAAAUUUCAUCUAAAGCUAAAUAUUGGCGAGAGACCGAUAGCGAACAAGUACCGUGAGGGAAAGAUGAAAAGAACUUUGAAAAGAGAGUUAAACAGUACGUGAAAUUGUCAAAAGGGAAGCGUUUGACACCAGUGUUGUUUUCUCGAAAAUCAAUUUAAUGAGUUCUUGUUCUUAAGUUAUUGUGACUUUAUCAGCGCAUUUCUUAUUUUACUUGACUCAUUGAAUGCACUUUUCGUUUAACAAGUCAACAUCAAUUUCUUUGGUGGUAAAAAGUUUAAAGGAAGGUGGCUUGGACUUCGGUUCAAGUGUUUAUAGCCUUUUUUCUAUGCCAUCGGAGAGAUUGAGGUCUGCAGCGUAGAUCCUUCGGGGUUAGAUACCUUUGUGCUAAGUUAUAGUUUUUUAUAGACAACUUGUUGACUAUAAUUAACCCUGUAAUUUACUCGCUUAGGCUAUUUUACCUACGCUUAGGAUGUUG